This is a long non-coding RNA of Myodes glareolus (Bank vole), 561 nucleotides long. RefSeq lists it as uncharacterized. The record is from RefSeq and is a predicted model, not a curated record. NCBI's taxonomy places the organism in Eukaryota, Metazoa, Chordata, Mammalia, Rodentia, Cricetidae.
CUGUGUUCACAGCUGCUAAAACCAUAGCACGACUCUUGUUUCAAAUGUCCCGGAGUCCUCCACCUGCCUACCUGGACGACAAAAGACAACUUGCUACCUGGAGCUUGCUGACAUGGUUUUUGGAAAGAACCUGGAAUCCCAUCCACCUGUCUGCACAUUGGCUCACAAGUGCUUCACACGGCAGUCCCCAAACCCAGUGAGGUACCCAUGGGAGAAAUGAACCUCAUUCAAUCUCUGAUGACCAGUCUUGCAUCUCCUCGGAACACAGGGAGGCCAGGAUGCAGGUGUUGGGCUCCUCAGGACUUCCAAGAUGACCUCUAAUUGGCACAUCCUCUCCUCCAGAGAAUGUCUGGGUGACAAACAGGGUCUCUUCUCACACCCUGAUCCUCACCAUCCCUGAAAAGUGGAGUCAUACGCUGGAGUCUUUUCCAUGCUGUGGCCCAGCUCACCUCUCAGCUUCAUCUUGUCGCUCAUCUGAUGCUGCUCCCAAGCCCAGUCUGUGUUUACAUGCCUCCACACUUUGUUCCCAUAGCUCUGCUCCCUAAAUGCAUGUGUGUGUGC